UGGUCCUGAACUGGUCCUAAUCUGGUCCUGAACUGGUCCUAAUCUGGUCCUAAUCUGGUCCUAAACUGGUCCUAAUCUGGUCCUAAUCUGGUCCUGAACUGGUCCUACAAGUACAACUGUAGCGAUUAAUACGCAGAACAUAUACACUCAUAGACUCACACAGACACUCACUCAUCGCAUUCUAUGUUCACACAAAGACAGCCACUCUACAUAUGUACCCUCACAUUGACCUGAAUACACUCAAACAAAUAGUUACAAAUCAAUCUACUCCUAGCCAUAUGUUGGCAUCUCCCACGCACCACACAUGAAGGAGAAAAUGAGAGGCUGGAAAAUAACCAGGAAUUAAUUCUCUGUGGAAUGUUGUUAGAUCACGGUUUGAGACAGGUGACCUGGAGAGAGAUCAGGAGGUUGGGAAAGGCAGAAAAGUGCCCAGGGUGUUAGGUGCUAUGCAGACUAGAAUGGAAAGACACUUCCACUGUACGUGUUGCAUGAUAUUGAUUCAUUUUGUAUCUCAAUGAUGAAAUUGUUCACAUGUUGGACUGGUUACUGGCAUAGUGAAAUCCUCAAGGAAUACAUGAGUGAAACAGCCUUCUUGGUCAAUGGCACUGUCCCUCAACUGACGGCCCGCGUGACAAUUUGUUUGUCCCCCAUGUUGUUUGAGCAAAAACAUUUUUAUUUUAUUUAUUUAUUUGUAUUGUUGGACUUUAAAGACUGUAAAAACACCAGGAAAUCAGCUUCAAGUGAAUGAGAGACCAGAUGCUGCUAGAGGUGGCGUUAGAGGGCCAGUAGUCUUCCCUCUGGUCUAAGGAGAUCUAAAUGCCCCACUGCAGUGAAGGGGACAUUGCCCUGUGUAGGGUGCUGUCUUUGGGAUGCUAAACAAGCAUCCUGACUCUGUGGUCAUUCAACAUCCCAUGACUCUAAGAGUACUGUAGGGGUGUCAUGGCAAAAUCCCAUGACUCUAAGAGUACUGUAGGGGUGUCAUGGCAAAAUCCCAUGACUCUAAGAGUACUGUAGGGGUGUCAUGGCAAAAUCCCAUGACUCUAAGAGUACUGUAGGGGUGUCAUGGCAAAAUCCCAUGACUCUAAGAGUACUGUAGGGGUGUCAUGGCAAAAUUCUAUCAUGGCCACCUAAUUAUUCUUCUCAUUCCUAACUGGCAUAUAUCACUCACCUGUGUGGUGAGCAGUCCUAUCUCUACAGACCUAUCUCUACAGUCCUAUCUCUGCAGUCCUAUCUCUGCAGUCCUAUCUCUACAGUCCUAUCUCUACAGUCCUAUCUCUACAGUCCUAUCUCUACAGUCCUAUCUCUGCAGUCCUAUCUCUACAGUCCUAUCUCUAUAGUCCUAUCUCUACAGUCCUAUCUCUACAGUCCUAUCUCUACAGUCCUAUCUCUGCAGUCCUAUCUCUGCAGUCCUAUCUCUACAGUCCUAUCUCUACAGUCCUAUCUCUACAGUCCUAUCUCUACAGUCCUAUCUCUGCAGUCCUAUCUCUACAGUCCUAUCUCUGCAGUCCUAUCUCUACAGUCCUAUCUCUACAGUCCUAUCUCUACAGUCCUAUCUCUACAGUCCUAUCUCUACAGUCCUAUCUCUGCAGUCCUAUCUCUACAGUCCUAUCUCUACAGUCCUAUCUCUGCAGUCCUAUCUCUGCAGUCCUAUCUCUGCAGUCCUAUCUCUAUAGUCCUAUCUCUACAGUCCUAUCUCUACAGUCCUAUCUCUGCAGUCCUAUCUCUGCAGUCCUAUCUCUACAGUCCUAUCUCUGCAGUCCUAUCUCUACAGUCCUAUCUCUGCAGUCCUAUCUCUACAGUCCUAUCUCUGCAGCUUCAGGGCAAAGACAUUAUCUCUGAUCUAUUAUUCAUUUAAAUAUUCGUUAUUCAUCAUAAUUCAUGAUUUGGUUAAGUGCUCUUAUGCAUGGGGCCACCACUUUGUUCCUUACGGCAGCACCUUGACUCCUGCCACACAUGCAUGGAAUCAUCUGUCCCAGAUCAAAGGAGGAUGGAGAGAGUGAAAGAGAGGAGUGGGGGAUCGUGGGGUUCCCCUCUGCAUGUCUGAAGGCUCCUGAAGGCUCUAGUGGGAAACCUGCUGCCAACCAGCUGUACCUUACAUCUCCAUCUGUCGCAACUCUGAUCGCCUGACCCUAAACUGACAGGACCUUGACCUUCAACCCUAGCGACAAGCAGGCCUGGGGAACCUGGGGAACCUGGGAGGGCGUGUCUUCUGGCGCCAAUACCCCUUGGCACUCCAGGAACUCAGGAUCGUGAUCCACACCACAAUUGCAACACUGUCGUCCUUCUACACACCGUUCUUCAGUAUACUGCAGUUCAUCUGAACACACUUGAAUCAAAUCAAAAUCAAAUCCAAUUUGUAUUUGUCACAUGCGCCGGAUACACCAGGUGUAGUAGACCUUACCGUGAAAUGCUUACGCACCAACAAUGUAGUUCAAGAAAAAUAGGUAAGAAAAGAUUUACUAAAUAAACUAAAGUAAAAAAAAAAUGGAAUCAAUCAAGAGUAACACAAGAAAUGUAUGUUACAAUGUGGAGACUAUAUACAGGGUGUUACGGUACAGAGUCAAUGUGGAGACUAUAUACAGGGUGUUA
Non-coding RNA from Oncorhynchus mykiss (rainbow trout), 2589 nucleotides. Lineage: Eukaryota; Metazoa; Chordata; Actinopteri; Salmoniformes; Salmonidae. The record is from RefSeq and is a predicted model, not a curated record.